CCUACGGGCGGCAGCAGUGGGGAAUAUUGGGCAAUGGACGCAAGUCUUACCCAGCAACGCCGCGUGAAGGAAGAAGGCCUUCGGGUUGUAAAGUUCUUUUAUUAGGGACGAAAAAAGUGACGGUACCUGACGAAUAAGCCACGGCUAACUACGUGCCAGCAGCCGCGGUAAUACGGAGGGGGCAAGCGUUGUCCGGAUUGACUGGGUGUAAAGGGUGUGUAGGCGGGUAGGCAAGUAAGAGGUGAAAUAUUGGGGCUUAACCCAGUGUCUGCAUUUUAAACUGUAAUUCUUGAGUGCAGUAGAGGUAAGCGGAAUUCGGGGUGUAGCGGUGAAAUGCGUAGAUAUUAGGAGGAACACCAGUGGCGAAGGCGGCUUGCUGGACUGUAACUGACGCUGAGGCUCGAAAGUGUGGGGAGCAAACAGGAUUAGAUACCCGGGUAGUC
This 443-nucleotide ribosomal RNA is filed under the name uncultured bacterium. Its description in RNAcentral is "partial 16S ribosomal RNA". It matches the Rfam family "Bacterial small subunit ribosomal RNA", at positions 338 to 795 of the family's 1533-position model. The record is from RNAcentral.